CAGCAGCCGCGGGAAUACGGAGGGUGCAAGCGUUACUCGGAAUCACUGGGCGUAAAGGACGCGUAGGCGGAUUAUCAAGUCUCUUGUGAAAUCUAACGGCUUAACCGUUAAACUGCUUGGGAAACUGAUAAUCUAGAGUAAGGGAGAGGCAGACGGAAUUCUUGGUGUAGGGGUAGAAUCCGUAGAUAUCAAGAAGAAUACCUAUUGCGAAGGCGAUCUGCUGGAACUUAACUGACGCUAAUGCGUGAAAGCGUGGGGAGCAAACAGGAUUAGAGACCCCGGUAGUCCCUGUCUCUUAUAC
Molecule: ribosomal RNA, 301 nt
Filed under: uncultured bacterium
Lineage: Bacteria
Description: partial 16S ribosomal RNA
Rfam family: Bacterial small subunit ribosomal RNA
Source: RNAcentral